UAAUUUUUUUGGUUUUAUCAGGUUUUGUUAGGAGGCAGGUGCCAAAAUUUUUCACAAAUGGGGUUAAAGUUUGCAAUUGUCAUUCUCCUUCUGCUGCCUAUUUUUGCAAUCGUUUCCUCCCUUGUUUGCAUGGAAUCGGGGACAAUAACGGGAAAAGUCCAAGCCAAAGAAUGCGAUGUGUCCAAUCUCCACACUUUAGAUGUUAACAUUACGAUUGAUAUCCAAGACGAAUCAAACAUCACCAUGUCUUACUACGACAAUCUUGACACAAAAAAUGAAGCAGCCGCAAAAAAGGUGGAAUUUCGGUGUUUCAUAACCUCGGCCUCAAGAGAGAAAAGACUGAGCGAAAUGCGGGGUUGCACCAAGAAAGGCGGCUGCGAAACGAUAAAAAGGCGGCUAAUGCGAGCGCACUUAGAGAACAUCAUGUGUAAGGAGUGCAGUAUGAACAUGUGUAAUUCGGCGAAAAAGCUGCUUAUUUUCGCCCCUUUACUGUGUAUCGCUGGACGCUUAUUUUAAAUAAACACGAAACAUCGAACAACUAAUAUUUAUUCACACCAACGAUUUAUUACAACAGUUUGAACAGUGAAACUGACGGCAACAAAAGCGAAACGAAAGCGAGAAGUUGCAACUUUGGGGCGGAAUUGCACAGACUGCCCUCGCAUUCGUAGCAUUUCGCCUCCCCGGUGAAGGGCAGCAUGGUCUUGAGGGCCCCCUCCAUGAGGCCGCAGCCCCCUUUCGGGAGACAUCCCUUCACAAUGGCCGUUUUGUCUACCGGAAGUUAGUUAAAUUUAAGGGAAUGAGAAAAAGCACAAAUUACCUUCGCCUUGGACCACAAACUUGAAGCAGGUCACGUCAAGUUUGGACAAAUCGAAUCUGCGUUCGAAUUUUUUCAAACUUUGGGUGCAGUCCUGUGGGGAAUGUUCCGAGACGCCUCGAGCCAAAGCUUCCAAAUUUGUGGAGUAGCAUUCCAUGCAAAUUGCUGUGUUUUUUUUUUUGGGAAAAAUUAAUAAAACACUUGUUCAACCA
Molecule: RNA transcript, 1026 nt
Organism: Tribolium castaneum (red flour beetle)
Lineage: Eukaryota; Metazoa; Arthropoda; Insecta; Coleoptera; Tenebrionidae
Exons: 3
Source: RefSeq, a predicted model, not a curated record